This 497-nucleotide ribosomal RNA is filed under the name uncultured bacterium. Its description in RNAcentral is "partial 16S ribosomal RNA". It matches the Rfam family "Bacterial small subunit ribosomal RNA", at positions 28 to 507 of the family's 1533-position model. The record is from RNAcentral.
GACGAACGCUGGCGGCGUGCCUAAUACAUGCAAGUCGAGCGAUGAGGCUUGGUGCUUGCACCAAUUUGGAGAGCAGCGAACGGGUGAGUAACGCGUGGAGAAUCUGCCUUUGAGCGGGGGACAACAUUUGGAAACGGAUGCUAAUACCGCAUAACAUCUUUAAACAUAAGUUUUAAGGUUGAAAGACGCAAUUGCAUCAAUCAAUGGUGGUCCCGCGGUGUAUUAGCUAGUUGGUGAGGUAAAGGCUCACCAAGGCGAUGAUACCUAGCCGACCUGAGAGGGUGGUCGGCCACAUUGGGACUGGGGAACGGCCCCAAAGCCUACGGGAGGCAGCAGUAGGGGAUCUUCGGGAAAGGAGGGAAGUCUGACCGAGGAACGGCGGGUGAGUGAAGGAGGUUCUCGGAUUGUAAAACUCCGUUGGUAGGGGAGAAAGUUGGUGGGAGGGGAAAGUGCACCAAGUGACGGUAACUACCCAGAAAGGGACGGCUAACUACGUG